GACGAACGCUGGCGGCGUGCUUAACACAUGCAAGUCGAACGGAAAGGCCUCUUUCGGGGGGUACUCGAGUGGCGAACGGGUGAGUAACACGUGAGUAACCUGCCCUUGACUUUGGGAUAACUUCAGGAAACUGGGGCUAAUACCGGAUAGGAGCUCCUGCUGCAUGGUGGGGGUUGGAAAGUUUCGGCGGUUGGGGAUGGACUCGCGGCUUAUCAGCUUGUUGGUGGGGUAGUGGCUUACCAAGGCUUUGACGGGUAGCCGGCCUGAGAGGGUGACCGGCCACAUUGGGACUGAGAUACGGCCCAGACUCCUACGGGAGGCAGCAGUGGGGAAUAUUGCACAAUGGGUGGAAGCCUGAUGCAGCAACGCCGUGUGCGGGAUGACGGCCUUCGGGUUGUAAACCGCUUUCGCUCAUGACGAAGCUUUGUGUGACGGUAGUGGGUAAAGAAGCACCGGCUAACUACGU
RNAcentral lists this ribosomal RNA (466 nucleotides) under uncultured bacterium. RNAcentral describes it as "partial 16S ribosomal RNA". It matches the Rfam family "Bacterial small subunit ribosomal RNA", at positions 28 to 506 of the family's 1533-position model. The record is from RNAcentral.